Molecule: ribosomal RNA, 569 nt
Filed under: Colletotrichum sp. 116GM/L
Lineage: Eukaryota; Fungi; Ascomycota; Sordariomycetes; Glomerellales; Glomerellaceae
Description: eukaryotic LSU rRNA
Rfam family: 5.8S ribosomal RNA (bases 204-357)
Source: RNAcentral
UCCGUAGGGUGAACCUGCGGAGGGAUCAUUACUGAGUUUACGCUCUAUAACCCUUUGUGAACAUACCUAUAACUGUUGCUUCGGCGGGUAGGGUCUCCGUGACCCUCCCGGCCUCCCGCCCCCGGGCGGGUCGGCGCCCGCCGGAGGAUAACCAAACUCUGAUUUAACGACGUUUCUUCUGAGUGGUACAAGCAAAUAAUCAAAACUUUUAACAACGGAUCUCUUGGUUCUGGCAUCGAUGAAGAACGCAGCGAAAUGCGAUAAGUAAUGUGAAUUGCAGAAUUCAGUGAAUCAUCGAAUCUUUGAACGCACAUUGCGCCCGCCAGCAUUCUGGCGGGCAUGCCUGUUCGAGCGUCAUUUCAACCCUCAAGCUCUGCUUGGUGUUGGGGCCCUACAGCUGAUGUAGGCCCUCAAAGGUAGUGGCGGACCCUCCCGGAGCCUCCUUUGCGUAGUAACUUUACGUCUCGCACUGGGAUCCGGAGGGACUCUUGCCGUAAAACCCCCCAAUUUUCCAAAGGUUGACCUCGGAUCAGGUAGGAAUACCCGCUGAACUUAAGCAUAUCAAUAAG